RNAcentral lists this long non-coding RNA (502 nucleotides) under Bos taurus (domestic cattle). RNAcentral's name for it is "long non-coding RNA NONBTAT023123". The record is from RNAcentral. Lineage: Eukaryota; Metazoa; Chordata; Mammalia; Artiodactyla; Bovidae.
UUUGAUUUUCAUGAGUAUGAAAAUGGCUUUUUAUUCUCUAGUAAGAUCAUUCCAAAGACUAUUUGGCACCAUUUUUACAUCCAUUUUAAUUAGACUCCAUUUCUCUGAACAUUGCUACAUGACUCUUAAAGGGGAAUGAUACAAAAUAUAUGAAUUUUUAAAUAAAAGUGCUUUUUCAAAGGUGAGUUUCCUGUUAUGGAAUAAGUAAUCAGUGACAUACCAAGAUCUCUGUUGAAAUAUUUGAUAAUUUUUUUGAAAUGCUUUACAACUUUUUUCAAUCCAUAUCAUCUUAUGACAGGCUCCAGUUCAACUUAUAAACUGGCAGUAUUUAUUUCUAAGAGUAAUUACAACCAGAUCAGUAGAGAGCACUGCUAAAAUUUGAAAAUUGACUUCUACUUCCUUUGCAUAAAAAUGAAAGACAUAUACAGACACUUAAAGCUUGUUUAAAGCACAUGUGGAAAAUACCACAAUAUAUUUAAGCUUGUUAUAAUUAACAUGACUU